CAGAAAAUAGUUUAAAAAAUAUUAAUUUUGGAGAUUAAAGACAGGGAGUGAUCUCUUUUUCUGA
This 64-nucleotide transfer RNA is filed under the name Euwallacea interjectus. RNAcentral's name for it is "tRNA-Pro". Lineage: Eukaryota; Metazoa; Arthropoda; Insecta; Coleoptera; Curculionidae. The record is from RNAcentral.